CUGAUGCGUUGUUGGGUAGGGGAGCGUUCUGUAAGCCUGUGAAGGUGGCCUGUGAGGGUUGCUGGAGGUAUCAGAAGUGCGAAUGCUGACAUAAGUAACGAUAAAGCGGGUGAAAAGCCCGCUCGCCGGAAGACCAAGGGUUCCUGUCCAACGUUAAUCGGGGCAGGGUGAGUCGACCCCUAAGGCGAGGCCGAAAGGCGUAGUCGAUGGGAAACGGGUUAAUAUUCCCGUACUUGGUGUUACUGCGAAGGGGGGACGGAGAAGGCUAUGUUGGCCGGGCGACGGUUGUCCCGGUUUAAGCGUGUAGGUGUGUGUUCCAGGUAAAUCCGGUUCACUUUAACACUGAGGCGUGAUGACGAGGCACUACGGUGCUGAAGCAACAAAUGCCCUGCUUCCAGGAAAAGCCUCUAAGCAUCAGGUAACAUCAAAUCGUACCCCAAACCGACACAGGUGGUCAGGUAGAGAAUACCAAGGCGCUUGAGAGAACUCGGGUGAAGGAACUAGGCAAAAUGGUGCCGUAACUUCGGGAGAAGGCACGCUGACACGUAGGUGAAGUGAUUUACUCAUGGAGCUGAAGUCAGUCGAAGAUACCAGCUGGCUGCAACUGUUUAUUAAAAACACAGCACUGUGCAAACACGAAAGUGGACGUAUACGGUGUGACGCCUGCCCGGUGCCGGAAGGUUAAUUGAUGGGGUCAGCGCAAGCGAAGCUCCUGAUCGAAGCCCCGGUAAACGGCGGCCGUAACUAUAACGGUCCUAAGGUAGCGAAAUUCCUUGUCGGGUAAGUUCCGACCUGCACGAAUGGCGUAAUGAUGGCCAGGCUGUCUCCACCCGAGACUCAGUGAAAUUGAACUCGCUGUGAAGAUGCAGUGUACCCGCGGCAAGACGGAAAGACCCCGUGAACCUUUACUAUAGCUUGACACUGAACAUUGAGCCUUGAUGUGUAGGAUAGGUGGGAGGCUUUGAAGUGUGGACGCCAGUCUGCAUGGAGCCGACCUUGAAAUACCACCCUUUAAUGUUUGAUGUUCUAACGUGGACCCGUAAUCCGGGUUGCGGACAGUGUCUGGUGGGUAGUUUGACUGGGGCGGUCUCCUCCUAAAGAGUAACGGAGGAGCACGAAGGUUGGCUAAUCCUGGUCGGACAUCAGGAGGUUAGUGCAAUGGCAUAAGCCAGCUUGACUGCGAGCGUGACGGCGCGAGCAGGUGCGAAAGCAGGUCAUAGUGAUCCGGUGGUUCUGAAUGGAAGGGCCAUCGCUCAACGGAUAAAAGGUACUCCGGGGAUAACAGGCUGAUACCGCCCAAGAGUUCAUAUCGACGGCGGUGUUUGGCACCUCGAUGUCGGCUCAUCACAUCCUGGGGCUGAAGUAGGUCCCAAGGGUAUGGCUGUUCGCCAUUUAAAGUGGUACGCGAGCUGGGUUUAGAACGUCGUGAGACAGUUCGGUCCCUAUCUGCCGUGGGCGCUGGAGAACUGAGGGGGGCUGCUCCUAGUACGAGAGGACCGGAGUGGACGCAUCACUGGUGUUCGGGUUGUCAUGCCAAUGGCACUGCCCGGUAGCUAAAUGCGGAAGAGAUAAGUGCUGAAAGCAUCUAAGCACGAAACUUGCCCCGA
RNAcentral lists this ribosomal RNA (1607 nucleotides) under Salmonella enterica. RNAcentral describes it as "partial 23S ribosomal RNA". It matches the Rfam family "Bacterial large subunit ribosomal RNA", at positions 1213 to 2802 of the family's 2925-position model. Lineage: Bacteria; Pseudomonadati; Pseudomonadota; Gammaproteobacteria; Enterobacterales; Enterobacteriaceae. RNAcentral also lists the same sequence under 1 other name. The record is from RNAcentral.